ACGAACGCUGGCGGCGUGCUUAACACAUGCAAGUCGAACGGAAAGGCCCUGCUUUUGUGGGGUGCUCGAGUGGCGAACGGGUGAGUAACACGUGAGUAACCUGCCCUUGACUUUGGGAUAACUUCAGGAAACUGGGGCUAAUACCGGAUAGGAGCUCCUGCUGCAUGGUGGGGGUUGGAAAGUUUCGGCGGUUGGGGAUGGACUCGCGGCUUAUCAGCUUGUUGGUGGGGUAGUGGCUUACCAAGGCUUUGACGGGUAGCCGGCCUGAGAGGGUGACCGGCCACAUUGGGACUGAGAUACGGCCCAGACUCCUACGGGAGGCAGCAGUGGGGAAUAUUGCACAAUGGGCGGAAGCCUGAUGCAGCAACGCCGCGUGCGGGAUGACGGCCUUCGGGUUGUAAACCGCUUUCGCCUGUGACGAAGCGUGAGUGACGGUAAUGGGUAAGAAGCACCGGCUAACUACGUG
Molecule: ribosomal RNA, 466 nt
Filed under: uncultured bacterium
Lineage: Bacteria
Description: partial 16S ribosomal RNA
Rfam family: Bacterial small subunit ribosomal RNA
Source: RNAcentral